RNAcentral lists this non-coding RNA (139 nucleotides) under Heterosigma akashiwo. Lineage: Eukaryota; Raphidophyceae; Chattonellales; Chattonellaceae. The record is from RNAcentral.
GUUUUUUUUCCUUCUUUUUCUUCUUCUUCUUUGUUUGUUUUUUUGCUUCUUCUCAUCAGUGCUUGUUUUUAUUAUAGACAGACAUUGGAGGUUUUUAGAUUGAUGAAACAAUAAUAAAAAAAGUAUUUUUAUUUUUUUC